RNAcentral lists this transfer RNA (95 nucleotides) under Tepidanaerobacter syntrophicus. RNAcentral describes it as "tRNA-Ser". It matches the Rfam family "tRNA". From Rfam's summary of the family: Transfer RNA (tRNA) molecules are approximately 80 nucleotides in length. Their secondary structure includes four short double-helical elements and three loops (D, anti-codon, and T loops). Further hydrogen bonds mediate the characteristic L-shaped molecular structure. tRNAs have two regions of fundamental functional importance: the anti-codon, which is responsible for specific mRNA codon recognition, and the 3' end, to which the tRNAs corresponding amino acid is attached (by aminoacyl-tRNA synthetases). tRNAs cope with the degeneracy of the genetic code in two manners: having more than one tRNA (with a specific anti-codon) for a particular amino acid; and 'wobble' base-pairing, i.e. permitting non-standard base-pairing at the 3rd anti-codon position. RNAcentral also lists the same sequence under 2 other names. Lineage: Bacteria; Bacillati; Bacillota; Clostridia; Thermosediminibacterales; Tepidanaerobacteraceae. The record is from RNAcentral.
GGAGAGAUGGCUGAGCUGGUCGAAGGCGCGCGACUGGAAAUCGCGUAACCGUGCUAAAACGCGGUUCGAGGGUUCGAAUCCCUCUCUCUCCGCCA